This is a non-coding RNA of Pelobates cultripes (western spadefoot toad), 228 nucleotides long. The record is from the annotation of a GenBank genome assembly. Lineage: Eukaryota; Metazoa; Chordata; Amphibia; Anura; Pelobatidae.
GCAGCCCCAGGAUCAUCGAUGCCUCUUGUAUGCAGUGAAUUUUAUGCGUAUCUUCGCCUUUUGUUACCAUCAGGGUGUGAGCCGGGCCCCAGCGGUAUGUGACAUGUUUCUCACGCAGAAGUGAUGUCAAUUGUUGCAGGGAUCUCCUCCAGGCUAAAGUGGCUCCCGAGAGGUCCGCAUAAAACAUUAGGUUCAUGCCUUCGAAGGGGUAGGUCUGUUGGAGCCUGG